Molecule: ribosomal RNA, 468 nt
Filed under: uncultured bacterium
Lineage: Bacteria
Description: partial 16S ribosomal RNA
Rfam family: Bacterial small subunit ribosomal RNA
Source: RNAcentral
GACGAACGCUGGCGGCGUGCUUAACACAUGCAAGUCGAACGGACAGACCCUGCUUUUGUGGGUUUCUCGAGAGGCGAACGGGUGAGUGACACGUGAGUAACAUGUCCUUGACUUUGGGAUAACUUCUGGAGACUGGGGCUCAUACACGAUAGGAGCUACUGCUGCAUGGUGGGGGAUGGAGAGUUUCGGCGGUUGGGGAUGGACUCGCGGCUUAUCAGCUUGUUGGUGUGGUAGGGGUUUACCAAGGCUUUGACGGGUAGCCGGCCUGAGAGGGUGACCGGCGACAUGGGGACUGAGAGAGGGCCCAGACGCCUACGGGAGGCAGCAGUGGGGAGUAUGGCGGAGUGGGCGGAAGUGUGAUGCGGCGGCGCCGCGAGCGGGAUGCUGGGUUACGGGUGGAAAACCGCUUUCGCCGGUGAUGAGGCGGGAGUGACGGUAACGGGUAAGGAAGCACCGGCUAACUACGUG